RNAcentral lists this ribosomal RNA (172 nucleotides) under [Amauroascus] purpureus. RNAcentral describes it as "Amauroascus purpureus 5.8S ribosomal RNA". The stretch from base 1 to 154 matches the Rfam family "5.8S ribosomal RNA". Rfam says of the family: 5.8S ribosomal RNA (5.8S rRNA) is a component of the large subunit of the eukaryotic ribosome. It is transcribed by RNA polymerase I as part of the 45S precursor that also contains 18S and 28S rRNA. The record is from RNAcentral. Lineage: Eukaryota; Fungi; Ascomycota; Eurotiomycetes; Onygenales; Neogymnomycetaceae.
AACUUUCAACAACGGAUCUCUUGGUUCCGGCAUCGAUGAAGAACGCAGCGAAAUGCGAUAAGUAGUGUGAAUUGCAGAAUUCCGUGAAUCAUCGAAUCUUUGAACGCACAUUGCGCCCCCUGGUAUUCCGGGGGGCAUGCCUGUCCGAGCGUCAUUGCAACCCUCAAGCGCG